AGUGAACGCUGGCGGUAGGCCUAACACAUGCAAGUCGAACGGCAGCACAGUAAGAGCUUGCUCUUACGGGUGGCGAGUGGCGGACGGGUGAGGAAUACAUCGGAAUCUACUUUUUCGUGGGGGAUAACGUAGGGAAACUUACGCUAAUACCGCAUACGACCUACGGGUGGAAGCAGGGGAUCUUCGGACCUUGCGCGAUUGGAUGAGCCGAUGUCGGAUUAGCUAGUUGGCGGGGUAAAGGCCCACCAAGGCGACGAUCCGUAGCUGGUCUGAGAGGAUGAUCAGCCACACUGGAACUGAGACACGGUCCAGACUCCUACGGGAGGCAGCAGUGGGGAAUAUUGGACAAAGGGCGCAAGCCUGAUCCAGCCAUACCGCGUGGGUGAAGAAGGCCUUCGGGUUGUAAAGCCCUUUUGUUGGGAAAGAAAAGCAGCAGGUUAAUACCCCGCUGUUCUGACGGUACCCAAAGAAUAAGCACCGGCUAACUUCGUG
Molecule: ribosomal RNA, 492 nt
Filed under: uncultured bacterium
Lineage: Bacteria
Description: partial 16S ribosomal RNA
Rfam family: Bacterial small subunit ribosomal RNA
Source: RNAcentral